Tympanuchus pallidicinctus (lesser prairie-chicken) is the source of this 2394-nucleotide long non-coding RNA. RefSeq lists it as uncharacterized. The transcript has 4 exons. The record is from RefSeq and is a predicted model, not a curated record. Lineage: Eukaryota; Metazoa; Chordata; Aves; Galliformes; Phasianidae.
UAACUCGAAACACUGGGAUACUGUUUUGUGAGGGUAGAUUAUAGCCAUAAUCCAUCAGAAAUUCUAUAACGUUAUGUAUUCAGCCUUCUUGGAUAUCCAUCAUCUGGGAGGCUUUUGCUUGUAGUCCUUGGCUGUUUCAGCCCGAUCCAACCACUUACACUCCUCCUUCAUUUUCUUAUUACAUUACCUGUGUCUCACUACUCUGAAUACAUGAACUGCUUUUCCCUUGUAUACACAGCAAACUUGAACAGUGUAUCUUCAUUUCAAGGCCUUUCUGGCUUAGUUGCAUCCUUCUCUCGUUUCUGUCACAGCACGAGGCCAUAGCACCUGCACUCAUCCAGUCAAUGGUGCUGACCUUGGCUGCUGCUGCUGAAUGUCCUUGAACUAGCUCUGUUCCCUGCUGCAAAAUCACCUUGCUGCCCUCUGUACUUCUCCUUUCUAUCUCAUCUCCUGGGAUACCAAUAAAUAACCCCCUUUUUUCUUUUUUUUUUUUUUCUUCCAAUAUCAUUUCAUUAUUUUCUUUGUGCCUCUGUAGCUCUUAGGGUAUGUGUUCUGGGUGCCAGCAGUCACUGGUAUGUACAGGCAAAGUACAAUUUUUCAGCCAGGCACAACACAAACUGGACUACUACUGCUUCUGCUGCUACUUCUCACCUUAGAGAACUCCCUUUUCAUGUGAUAGAUAGGAGAGAAUGAAACAGGGGAACUUAGCAAAUAGGAAACAUCAAAUCACAUAUAGUGGCAAUACUAAGCCACUGUCUGAAGCAGUGAAGGAGCACCUGGUGGGAAGGCAGAGCCAAACCAGGGGAGCUCAGGUGCAUGCAGUGCAAUGCAAUGCACCCGAGUGACUGGAAGGGCUGCAACCAGAAUCCAUCCCUUUCUAGACCUCAUUUAAAGCUUGGCAGUGGAUGCAAGGGUAUCUCUUGUUGGAGCUCCCUGCCUACUUCUGGCCUUUCAAAGCUCCAGCAUUUGCUGCACAAGAGGGAUGAAGUGAAGGAGCAAAAGCCCAAAGGGCCUCUGCAGAACGAGAUGCUCACAACUUGCUGCCCCUUGUGCAGUGGAACAGCUGCAGGGCAGCCCAUGUUUGACACCGAUCUCCUGUUUAGACCAGGUGUUGUGACCUUUUAAGCCACCUUACCAAGAGAAUAAGGGGCAAGUGGUGCCCACAGACAGCACUAAUUGUGGAAGUGCAGGUGACCUGGUGGCCAUGAGUGGUUGUCACCCACCACCCCACACACCUGGGAGCAGGCUGGACCUGGCAGUAAUGAUGCCUUUAGCAAGCCAAUUAAGCCGUGCUACUUGAUGAGGAUGCACUACACAGCUUGCAAACGACACGGGGUCAGCAGCGCUUCUGUCUCUCACGCUUGCUUGUUAGCACACCUCAUUUCUCGGGCUUUAAGCCGCCUAAUUGGAUGUUGCGGCGGCGGGAGGAGGGAGGAAGGUGGGAGUACCGAGGGGAAAAGCAGCUCCUGGAGCUCAUCAGCCGCGAUGAUCGCUAGAUGGCAUUGCAAGCACACCGUUACCAGCGAUGGGCUGGCGGCUGGGGAUGGGGAUCGAGAUGGAACUGGGGUAGGGGCUGGAGAUAGGAAUGCGGCAGGGCUGGGGUUGGGGAUCAGUUUAAGGCCUGGAUUGACUAUAACCACAGAACAGUCAAGGAUGCUCCUCGGUCAUGCUGUCAUCACGCUUUUUAUCAUGAGAUUUUGGUGAAACUCUAAAGGAAGAGAAGAGCAAAAGUUGUAAAAUGAUACACUUCUCAUAACAAGAACUACUUUUUCCCAUGGGUUCCAUAUCAUGAAGCAGGCAAGGAGUUACGUUUAGGUAAGACUGCUGCUUUCUGAUACUGAGUUUUUGUGAAACAAGCAGUCAGUGCCACCAAACACAUUGUGCAUGAGGAUUUUCAUGCCCUGUGGUGUCAGCUCUACUAUGGAAGGCAGAAGGUAAUGAGCUCCCUGUAGCAGUGACACAGAACACAUUGUGACCUGAGAAGUGGGAGCAGCCCUGAGAGCCCUUUGGGCUGUGCAUCAGUGGGGGAUCAGCCAGAGAAGGGAAGAUAAAUAAAGGCAAUGUCUGGGGGUGGAUUGCUGAACUAAUUUCAUUGCAGCAGGUCCUUUACUUUGCAAAUAGGCUUGGCAUAAGCCUAUGUACCUAUGUAGGUGCUUAAAGUGGGCUAUAAUGCUAAUACAGAUGUAUGUAAAUGGGUUAUAACACUCGUAUCUCUAUACAAUAUAGACAACCUAUAACAUAGGUUAUAACCCUCCUGCCCCAGGGCAUAAGCUAUCCACUGCCCUCCAUGAGGAAGCAAUCUGACCCGCACAGCAAUUCUUGCAUCUCCUCUGAGAAGGCAUCUCCCAGAGAAAGCACAUGGGAUCAGACAGAGCUGCCAGGGGAAUGUGAAUA